Long non-coding RNA from Megalops cyprinoides (Indo-Pacific tarpon), 258 nucleotides. RefSeq lists it as uncharacterized. The transcript has 3 exons. The record is from RefSeq and is a predicted model, not a curated record. Lineage: Eukaryota; Metazoa; Chordata; Actinopteri; Elopiformes; Megalopidae.
GCUUCUAGCAGUGGCAGCCCACAAGCAAGAAACAGAGGAAGCAUAAAAUUUUGCUGAACCUGUUACAGACUGAUUUUCAUGAUUAAACUCGGUAACUGUCACACUUACCAUCAGAGCACCCGAGACUAUCCUGCCAGGGGAACAGAAGCACAGCAAAGACACCCAUCCAUAUCAUCUCUCAGCACAGUGAAUUUCAAGAGACUUCCCCUGCACAUCUGCCCAGGUUGCAACAAGAGCAGCAAUCCACCAGAGGGGGCC